RNAcentral lists this ribosomal RNA (429 nucleotides) under Acidobacteriota bacterium. RNAcentral describes it as "Acidobacteria bacterium partial 16S ribosomal RNA". It matches the Rfam family "Bacterial small subunit ribosomal RNA", at positions 355 to 776 of the family's 1533-position model. The record is from RNAcentral. Lineage: Bacteria; Pseudomonadati; Acidobacteriota.
UGGGGAAUUUUGGACAAUGGGGGAAACCCUGAUCCAGCCAUCCCGCGUGUGCGAUGAAGGCCUUCGGGUUGUAAAGCACUUUUGGCAGGAAAGAAACGUCAUGGGUUAAUACCCCGUGAAACUGACGGUACCUGCAGAAUAAGCACCGGCUAACUACGUGCCAGCAGCCGCGGUAAUACGUAGGGUGCAAGCGUUAAUCGGAAUUACUGGGCGUAAAGCGUGCGCAGGCGGUUCGGAAAGAAAGAUGUGAAAUCCCAGAGCUCAACUUUGGAACUGCAUUUUUAACUACCGGGCUAGAGUGUGUCAGAGGGAGGUGGAAUUCCGCGUGUAACAGUGAAAUGCGUAGAUAUGCGGAGGAACACCGAUGGCGAAGGCAGCCUCCUGGGAUAACACUGACGCUCAUGCACGAAAGCGUGGGGAGCAAACAGG